Molecule: ribosomal RNA, 459 nt
Filed under: uncultured bacterium
Lineage: Bacteria
Description: partial 16S ribosomal RNA
Rfam family: Bacterial small subunit ribosomal RNA
Source: RNAcentral
CCUACGGGUGGCAGCAGUGAGGAAUAUUGGUCAAUGGGCGGGAGCCUGAACCAGCCAAGUCGCGUGAGGGACGACGGUCCUAUGGAUUGUAAACCUCUUUUGUCGGGGAACAAAGGCGCCCACGGGUGGGCGGAUGAGUGUACCCGAAGAAAAAGCAUCGGCUAACUCCGUGCCAGCAGCCGCGGUACUACGGAGGAUGCGAGCGUUAUCCGGAUUUAUUGGGUUUAAAGGGUGGGUAGGCGGACAGUCAAGUCAGCGGUAAAAUUGCGGUGCUCAACGCCGUACAGCCGUUGAAACUGGCAGUCUAGAGUGGGCGAGAGGUAUGCGGAAUGCGUGGUGUAGCGGUGAAAUGCAUAGAUAUCACGCAGAACUCCGAUUGCGAAGGCAGCAUACCGGCGCCCGACUGACGCUGAGGCACGAAAGCGUGGGUAUCGAACAGGAUUAGAUACCCGGGUAGUC